CAAUUUUGCCCUUAGAGUUUGAUCCUGGCUCAGGAUGAACGCUAGCUACAGGCUUAACACAUGCAAGUCGAGGGGAAACGACAUCGAAAGCUUGCUUUUGAUGGGCGUCGACCGGCGCACGGGUGAGUAACGCGUAUCCAACCUGCCCACAACUUGGGGAUAACCUUGCGAAAGUAAGACUAAUACCCAAUGAUAUCUCUAGAAGACAUCUGAAGGAGAUUAAAGAUUUAUCGGUGAUGGAUGGGGAUGCGUCUGAUUAGCUUGUUGGCGGGGUAACGGCCCACCAAGGCGACGAUCAGUAGGGGUUCUGAGAGGAAGGUCCCCCACAUUGGAACUGAGACACGGUCCAAACUCCUACGGGAGGCAGCAGUGAGGAAUAUUGGUCAAUGGGCGAGAGCCUGAACCAGCCAAGUAGCGUGCAGGAUGACGGCCCUAUGGGUUGUAAACUGCUUUUAUAAGGGAAUAAAGUGAGUCUCGUGAGACUUUUUGCAUGUACCUUAUGAAUAAGGACCGGCUAAUUCCGUGCCAGCAGCCGCGGUAAUACGGAAGGUCCGGGCGUUAUCCGGAUUUAUUGGGUUUAAAGGGAGCGUAGGCCGGAGAUUAAGCGUGUUGUGAAAUGUAGACGCUCAACGUCUGCACUGCAGCGCGAACUGGUUUCCUUGAGUACGCACAAAGUGGGCGGAAUUCGUGGUGUAGCGGUGAAAUGCUUAGAUAUCACGAAGAACUCCGAUUGCGAAGGCAGCUCACUGGAGCGCAACUGACGCUGAAGCUCGAAAGUGCGGGUAUCGAACAGGAUUAGAUACCCUGGUAGUCCGCACGGUAAACGAUGGAUGCCCGCUGUUGGUCUGAAUAGGUCAGCGGCCAAGCGAAAGCAUUAAGCAUCCCACCUGGGGAGUACGCCGGCAACGGUG
Molecule: ribosomal RNA, 911 nt
Filed under: uncultured bacterium
Lineage: Bacteria
Description: bacterial SSU rRNA
Rfam family: Bacterial small subunit ribosomal RNA
Source: RNAcentral